UGAUGACUGGGGUGAAGUCGUAACAAGGUAGCCGUACCGGAAGGUGUGGCUGGAUCACCUCCUUA
This 65-nucleotide ribosomal RNA is filed under the name Phormidium sp. CCMEE 327. Its description in RNAcentral is "partial 16S ribosomal RNA". It matches the Rfam family "Bacterial small subunit ribosomal RNA", at positions 1469 to 1533 of the family's 1533-position model. Lineage: Bacteria; Bacillati; Cyanobacteriota; Cyanophyceae; Oscillatoriales; Oscillatoriaceae. The record is from RNAcentral.